This 515-nucleotide ribosomal RNA is filed under the name uncultured bacterium. RNAcentral describes it as "partial 16S ribosomal RNA". It matches the Rfam family "Bacterial small subunit ribosomal RNA", at positions 28 to 523 of the family's 1533-position model. The record is from RNAcentral.
GAUGAACGCUGGCGGCGUGCCUAAUACAUGCAAGUCGAGCGAAUGGAUUAAGAGCUUGCUCUUAUGAAGUUAGCGGCGGACGGGUGAGUAACACGUGGGUAACCUGCCCAUAAGACUGGGAUAACUCCGGGAAACCGGGGCUAAUACCGGAUAACAUUUUGAACCGCAUGGUUCGAAAUUGAAAGGCGGCUUCGGCUGUCACUUAUGGACGGACCCGGGUCGCAUUAGCUAGUUGGUGAGGUAACGGCUCACCAAGGCAACGAUACGUAGCCGACCUGAGAGGGUGAUCGGCCACACUGGGACUGAGACACGGCCCAGACUCCUACGGGAGGCAGCAGUAGGGAAUCUUCCGCAAUGGACGAAAGUCUGACGGAGCAACGCCGCGUGAGUGAUGAAGGCUUUCGGGUCGUAAAACUCUGUUGUUAGGGAAGAACAAGUGCUAGUUGAAUAAGCUGGCACCUUGACGGUACCUAACCAGAAAGCCACGGCUAACUACGUGCCAGCCGCCGCCGUAA